This 497-nucleotide ribosomal RNA is filed under the name uncultured bacterium. RNAcentral's name for it is "partial 16S ribosomal RNA". It matches the Rfam family "Bacterial small subunit ribosomal RNA", at positions 28 to 507 of the family's 1533-position model. The record is from RNAcentral.
GAUGAACGCUGGCGGCGUGCCUAAUACAUGCAAGUCGAGCGAACAGACGAGGAGCUUGCUCCUCUGACGUUAGCGGCGGACGGGUGAGUAACACGUGUAUAACCUACCUAUAAGACUGGGAUAACUUCGGGAAACCGGAGCUAAUACCGGAUAAUAUAUUGAACCGCAUGGUUCAAUAGUGAAAGACGGUUUUGCUGUCACUUAUAGAUGGAUCCGCGCCGCAUUAGCUAGUUGGUAAGGUAACGGCUUACCAAGGCAACGAUGCGUAGCCGACCUGAGAGGGUGAUCGGCCACACUGGAACUGAGACACGGUCCAGACUCCUACGGGAGGCAGCAGUAGGGAAUCUUCCGCAAUGGGCGAAAGCCUGUCGGAGCAACGCCGCGUGAGUGAUGAAGGUCUUCGGAUCGUAAAACUCUGUUACUAGGGAAGAACAAAUGUGUAAGUAACUAUGCACGUCUUGACGGUACCUAAUCAGAAAGCCACGGCUAACUACGUG